RNAcentral lists this ribosomal RNA (253 nucleotides) under uncultured bacterium. RNAcentral describes it as "partial 16S ribosomal RNA". It matches the Rfam family "Bacterial small subunit ribosomal RNA", at positions 524 to 776 of the family's 1533-position model. The record is from RNAcentral.
UACAGAGGUCUCAAGCGUUGUUCGGAUUCAUUGGGCGUAAAGGGUGCGUAGGCGGCGGGGCAAGUCUGAUGUGAAAUCCCGGGGCUCAACCCCGGAACUGCAUUGGAUACUGCCUUGCUAGAGUACUGGAGAGGAGACUGGAAUUUACGGUGUAGCAGUGAAGUGCGUAGAUAUCGUAAGGAAGGCCAGUGGCGAAGGCGAGUCUCUGGACAGUUACUGACGCUGAGGCACGAAGGCCAGGGGAGCAAACGGG